Molecule: ribosomal RNA, 430 nt
Filed under: Colpodaspis thompsoni
Lineage: Eukaryota; Metazoa; Mollusca; Gastropoda; Cephalaspidea; Diaphanidae
Description: partial 16S ribosomal RNA
Rfam family: Archaeal large subunit ribosomal RNA
Source: RNAcentral
AAAACAUAGCCUUGAGGGAAUAAUUUAAGGGUGAAGUCUGCCCCAAUGAUGAUUAUUUAAUGGCUGCGGAAUUUUAACCGUACUAAGGUAGCAUAAUAAAUUGUCUUUUGAAUGAAGUCUAGAAUGAAUGGAAUAACGGGAAUAACCUGUCUUUAUAUUUUUAUAAUGAAUUUACUAAUUAGGUGAAAAAGCCUAUAAAUGAUAAAAGACGAGAAGACCCUAAGAGUUUAAUUUAUUUUGUUGGGGCGACACAGGAUCAUAGCAAACAUCCUUUAUUAAAAUAUGACGAAUAAUUUUAUGAACAGAUAAACUACCUUAGGGAUAACAGCACAAUCUUUUUAGGUUUGUGACCUCGAUGUUGGACUAGGAAGCUUUUAGGCUAGCCGCUUAAUAAGGGGAUUCUGUUCGAAUUUUAACUCCUACGUGAUCU